CAGGAGUUCGAGACCAGGCUGGCCAACAUGGUGAAACCCCAUCUCUACUAAAAAUACAAAAAUUAGCUGGGUGUGGUGGCGCGCACCUGUAGUCCCAGCUACUCAGGAGGCUGAGGUAGAAGAAUAGCUGGAACCCAGGAGGCAGAGAUUGCAGUCAGCCGAGAUUGCACCACUGCACUCCAGCCUGGGAGACAGAGCAAGACUGACUCAAAAGAAAAAAAAUGACAGAAGCCUGAUUAUCAGACUGCCCGGAGGAGACAGGCUCCAGCAGAUAGAUGCCAGCCAGGCCCAGCUGCCACGAUUUGUCCCAGGUGACCAAAGGCACGCAGCUCCAGCAUGAAUCGUUCUAACCCAACAGUGACAAGAACUGCUGGGCCUUAACCGUCAUGGAAGACUGGGGCCGCUUCCAAGUCACAGACAGGAGACGGGGACAGGAAAGAACUCAUUCCACCCAAUCGGACACCUAAUAAUUGAGUGUCUACAGCAGCAAUCAAGUGACAAGUGAGGCCCUACCUGACCCAGAAGGUGCCUGCCGGCUAAACAUUCUGCCCCCACCAGAAACUCCAGGGGGUCCGCCCGUUAUGCCGUGGCCCACCCACGCCCCUUUGGAUCACCAGCAGUCACAGACAACAGGCAGGCGAAACUGAAGACCCCAACUCAGCCCCAGCGGACCCUCCAGAGCAAAAGAGGCCCCCGGCGAGGCCACCUGUCGGCAGGCAUGCCGAGGUCAAACAGCCGGGGCCACCGUUCCCAGCUGGGCCACGACCUGCACCGUCCACAGAUGGGCUUUGAGAUGGAUUUGUAUCAGGGUGGGGGGUGUGGUUUGGCCAAAAUGCAAUGGACCCCGACCCCUCCUCGUAAAAGGAUGUUGGGUUUCCCUCUGGUGACACAUGGGAUGCGUCAUAAACCCUCCCCCAAAGUCCUGGUCAGCAGCCCAUCCUUCCAACGAUGAGUUUUGCGGUUUUUCAGAACAGAAAUGAUCACUACGAUUGACGACGGUCGUGAUGUUAAGACGUCGUCUCCAUGAGCUUUGGGGGGACUUUUAUGUGGAAUAAAGAAACUAUCACUGAGAA
Molecule: long non-coding RNA, 1073 nt
Filed under: Homo sapiens (human)
Lineage: Eukaryota; Metazoa; Chordata; Mammalia; Primates; Hominidae
Description: non-protein coding lnc-ATCAY-1:1
Source: RNAcentral